AUUAAGGUGGCUGAUAAAGGCAAAAAAUUGUAAAUUUUUUUAUAAACUAAUUUCCUUAAAA
Molecule: transfer RNA, 61 nt
Filed under: Echiniscus testudo
Lineage: Eukaryota; Metazoa; Tardigrada; Heterotardigrada; Echiniscoidea; Echiniscidae
Description: tRNA-Tyr
Source: RNAcentral